RNAcentral lists this transfer RNA (71 nucleotides) under Harpadon microchir. Its description in RNAcentral is "tRNA-Trp". It matches the Rfam family "tRNA". From Rfam's summary of the family: Transfer RNA (tRNA) molecules are approximately 80 nucleotides in length. Their secondary structure includes four short double-helical elements and three loops (D, anti-codon, and T loops). Lineage: Eukaryota; Metazoa; Chordata; Actinopteri; Aulopiformes; Synodontidae. The record is from RNAcentral.
AGGGGCUUAGGAUAAUAUUAAACCAAGAGCCUUCAAAGCCCUAAAUGUGGGUGAAAAUCCCUCAGCCCCUG